Molecule: ribosomal RNA, 253 nt
Filed under: uncultured bacterium
Lineage: Bacteria
Description: partial 16S ribosomal RNA
Rfam family: Bacterial small subunit ribosomal RNA
Source: RNAcentral
GACGUAGGUGGCGAACGUUAUCCGGAAUUAUUGGGCGUAAAGGGUGCGUAGAUGGCUUGACAAGUUAGUGGUGGGAAAUCGAGGCUCAACCUCGUGGAAGUCACUAAUACUAUCAAACUAGAGUGCAGGAGAGGUUAAUGGAACUCCAUGUGUAGCGGUAAAAUGCGACGAUAUAUGGAUGAAUACCGGUGGCGAAGGCGGCAUCCUGGACCGGCAUUGACGCUGAGGAGCGAAAGCCAGGGGAGCAAACGGG